Molecule: ribosomal RNA, 299 nt
Filed under: Lysinibacillus sp. S2017
Lineage: Bacteria; Bacillati; Bacillota; Bacilli; Caryophanales; Bacillaceae
Description: partial 16S ribosomal RNA
Rfam family: Bacterial small subunit ribosomal RNA
Source: RNAcentral
AUUAUGGAGAGUUUGAUCCUGGCUCAGGACGAACGCUGGCGGCAUGCCUAAUACAUGCAAGUCGAGCGGACGAACUUUUGGUGCUUGCACCAAAUUUUCGUUAGCGGCGGACGGGUGAGUAACACGUGGGUAACCUACCCUACAGACUGGGAUAACUUCGGGAAACCGAGGCUAAUACCGGAUAAUACUUGGAACUACAUAGUUCCUUGUUGAAAGAUGGUUUUGCUAUCACUGUAAGAUGGGCCCGCGGCGCAUUAGCUAGUUGGUGAGGUAACGGCUCACCAAGGCAACGAUGCGUA